CUUCUCAGAAAGGGAAACAGUGAUGGAAAAAGGUUCAAUUACAGAAGAUCAGAGCAGUGGUUUCUGAUGAAUUAUGAGCUUCCCUCCAAGUCUUCAAUUUGGGAAGGUAGAUGGGUUGGAGUGAGAAGCAGGGCUCUGCUUCCUUCAUUUCUUGUUGCUAAUGGGGAAUAUGGAGAACCAAGUAUGGUUGCUUUCUGUAAAGGUAUGCAGUCAAUUAUAGAUGCAUCAUCAUCUGAUGAUGUUGCUUAUUCAAUUUUGUAUGCAAUGUAGUGCAUGUAUGCAUCAUCGUAGGACUAAGUCUCUUUUCAUAUUAGUAUGAUAUUGUUCUAUUUCGACUUACGCUCGUUUAAUUUUUUAUUUUAGAUUAUGCGUACCUAAUAUGAGUCGUAUUGGUGUAGAAGGUGUCUUUUUAUAAACCUGUUUGGGGCAAUUGCAAAUAUGGCAAAAACAUUUAGUAAGAUUAGCAAAA
Long non-coding RNA from Momordica charantia (bitter melon), 469 nucleotides. RefSeq lists it as uncharacterized. NCBI's taxonomy places the organism in Eukaryota, Viridiplantae, Streptophyta, Magnoliopsida, Cucurbitales, Cucurbitaceae. The record is from RefSeq and is a predicted model, not a curated record.